CGCGUGAGGAACCUGCCUCAAAGAGGGGGACAACAGUUGGAAACGACUGCUAAUACCGCAUAAGCCCACAGGUCGGCAUCGACCAGAGGGAAAAGGAGCAAUCCGCUUUGAGAUGGCCUCGCGUCCGAUUAGCUAGUUGGUGAGGUAAUGGCCCACCAAGGCAACGAUCGGUAGCCGGACUGAGAGGUUGAACGGCCACAUUGGGACUGAGACACGGCCCAG
RNAcentral lists this ribosomal RNA (222 nucleotides) under uncultured bacterium. RNAcentral describes it as "partial 16S ribosomal RNA". It matches the Rfam family "Bacterial small subunit ribosomal RNA", at positions 114 to 334 of the family's 1533-position model. The record is from RNAcentral.